Microplitis demolitor is the source of this 1876-nucleotide long non-coding RNA. RefSeq lists it as uncharacterized. The transcript is spliced from 3 exons. Lineage: Eukaryota; Metazoa; Arthropoda; Insecta; Hymenoptera; Braconidae. The record is from RefSeq and is a predicted model, not a curated record.
UAAUGUGGCUGUGGACAGAAUAGUGACGCCACAGGCAAACUGUCGGAGUAUAAAGAGUGCAUAAAGUAACAUUUAACGCGCUUAAGCGAAAUUGCGAGAAUCGGAGGCAUAGAAGCUGAUGCACAAGACGGUGAAGUGUAGAGGGAGUUACGUGGCAUUAACAUACCGAUUUACAUAAUGCGUAUAAUUCAAGUAAUUAUUGAGGGAAAUAUACACAAUUUAAUAUAAUGGCUGAUGCUUAAACUCAUCGUCUAUCUGCUCGACGUAUCUCCGAUCUCUGUCGCUCUUUAGCUAUCAAAAAUUUUCUCCCUGUGUUUAUUAUUCAUUAUCCUCAAGAUAUUAGCUAUUUUAUAUUUUUAUUUAUUUGUCGACGAGUUUGUAUUUCAUAGCUUAUUUAUUUAUAAAAUCAAAUUAUUACGAGGUAAUUUACUUUUUUUAAUGAGUAAUUUUAUUUAUUUAAAUUUGCCAUUUUAUCGUCAGACGAUCGUCUCAUGAAAGUUAAGCUAACAAAUAUUUUAAUAAUUACGCGAUUUAUAAAAUUAUUUAAUUGGAAGACGUAAUUAAUAACAACAAUAAUAAUCAUUUUAAUUAAUAACGAAGAUUCGAAAUAAAUUAAAUAUUAAAAAAUAAAACUUGUCAAUUUAAUGGUAACAUGGAAAAAAAAUUUGACCACUUUCAUGACAUUAAAUUCGUUGGUACAACAUGCAACUAAAAAUAUAUACAUAUACAUACUCAUAUAUAUUGAAUAAUGAUACGAAGCGUAUGUAUGAGGGUUAAAAAAAGAUAAAAACCCGGCAAAAGAAGUGGAUUGCGUAUGAAAAAGGAGGAGAGCUUGAGGACACGAAAGAGGGGCCUACUCAACUGCCCGACUGCCCGCGUAUCUCGAGAUCUAUCUGAAUAAUAACGUGUACGACAACAUGUCAAAUUAUACAGAGCCACGAGACACUCGUCGGUAUACAUACACGCACUUAAACAACUCAUAAUUGCGAGUGCACGCACACCUGACAUAGAAAAAUAUAACUAAACAUCAUCGCAACUUAUGUAUCCAUGCCCAUACCCAUACCCAUACCCAUACCACAUCAUAUGUACUUAUUAUUACUAUUAUUUAUCGCCCUAACUCCAAAUUCGGAUCGCUUCCCAUAUCCUCAUGCAUUCCUCCAUAAAUAUUACAGCCAAUCCAAUUAUUCCCACGUUAUCGCGUCUAAUUACUUUGUAUAUUUAUCAAACUUUAUACUUUUUUUCACGACCCGUACCCGUUCUCCUUUUUGUUCCUCUUCUCCGUCUAUUUUUUAAAUCGCUAUCGAUCCACGACAAUUAAAUCCCCACAAGUCACGUUGAUCAUGACGGAUUGCUUUACCAACAAGUUAUUACAGUCAAACUCAACUAUUUAAAUUUAUUUAUAUUUUUUUACCCGCUCUCGGAAAUUGUUAAUUUAAUGGAAAUUUUUCUCAACAUUUUAAAAAAUCUUAUUUCUUAAUUAUUUUAAUACGAACUAAUUACAUUUUUUUUUUUCCAUGACCUGCCUCUGGAUCAUCGGAAACCGCACGCAUCAAUCCAGUAUACGGCAUUACACUGGGCAGCCAAGCACGGGGAUGAAAACAUCGUCAAGUUAAUUGCUGGGACCUACAAAGACUACAUAAAGAGCGUCAACGAGACAACGAACGGGGUGAGUUUUAUUGAACGAGUUUAAGUAAGAGCUAAUUUAGUGCGCGGAGGUUUAAAUAAAGGACGUAGGGCGCGGGCGGAGGGUGGGCUUUCGAAGCGGGCUGAGGAGACAGCAGAUAGGAUCAGAUGCGUGUGGUCUCUUGGUUUGCUCCGGUAAGACUUAUAUAAGCCAGUGCUUGAGAUAAAGAGCGAGAGAGAGAUUGCCGCUCGU